This 5451-nucleotide long non-coding RNA is filed under the name Takifugu rubripes (torafugu). Its description in RNAcentral is "lncRNA (ENSTRUG00000026548.1)". The record is from RNAcentral. Lineage: Eukaryota; Metazoa; Chordata; Actinopteri; Tetraodontiformes; Tetraodontidae.
CUUAAGGCCCCUGCAGGCACUACACCAUUACCAAAUCAUCCAUUUCACACAGUUUUUCUAGAUUUUAUUCAGCUAACACCAUGUGAAGGUAAACAAUAUUGUCUAGUAGUGUUAGAUGGAUUUACUAGGUGGGUAGAAAUUUUCCCCACAGCAAAAGCAGAUGCACUGACAGUAGCAAAAGUUUUAUGUAGAGAGAUCAUUCCCAGGUUUGGCAUCCCGAAGGUCAUCUGGAGCGACAAUGGAAGCCAUUUUGUAAAUGAGAUAGUGAAAACUGUAGGAGUAACUUUGGGCAUUGAUUUGAAGAAUCACUGCGCAUACCACCCCCAGAGUGCAGGGUUGGUUGAAAGAGUCAACGGUACUAUUAAGAACAGACUGAAGAAAUGUAUGGACGAGACAGGAAAGAACUGGAUGUUUUGUCUCGACCUGGUGAAAUUAUGGAUGCACAUAACACCACACAAGAAAACAGGCAUCACACCCUUUGAAGCAUUAUAUGGGCGGCCUUAUUGCCUACCAUACUUUGCAACAACAAAUGAGCUAAAACAUGUUGAAGAAACAAUAGCAGAUUAUCUGAAAAAAGUGUUACUUAACCGAUGUGUGAAUACAGUAAAUGUUCUGCCUAGUCCUGUGUCUUCCACAGAUUCCACCCCCCAGGAACCCAUUCAACCGGGCGACUACGUGUGGGUGAAGAAGUUUGUGCGGAAGAGGUGGAACACGCCUAGAUGGGAAGGUCCUUAUCAAGUACAGCUGACCACAAAGACUGCAGUUCGAGUGGAAGCUUGAACUGCUCGUCAGCUCUCCCUUGCAAGGCCACCUGUUGUCUGUGUGGUUGAUCUGAGUCUAGUAAACGAACAGCGCGGGUGACCAAACAUCACCCUCACACACCGUCAUGCGAUCUACGUCGUAGUCGGACGGAACGGGAUAGGGCCCCACGUAAUUGAGGUGAAUUUCUGAGCUAAAUUUGUGUGGGAAAUACCCCUUGGUCUUGUCAGUGAAUCCUAAGGCUUUGGGCAUAGCGCUGAGACGCAUGGGGAGAAAUGACAGGGAAUCUAUGAAUUUGAGACCAUAAUGGGAUUCCUCAAAACUGAGGAUUUUACUCCCGUUCAUCAGAAUCUGUUGUGGCGUCACAUCCAGUUCCAACAUACCUUUUAACACCAGAUAACUGUCAAACCCCUUGGCAUUAUGGGCUAUAAAGAUGUUCUGUUUGUAUCGUGGCUUCCUGAAAUGCAAAAUAAACAUUUUAGCACAGUCAAGACCAUAAAACGCCUUCUCUUCACCUUUGGAUGUUUUUGUAUGCACUAAAAAAGGAACAUGCUCUCCAUUUUGACCCACAAAUGUUUCAAAAUCAUAAAAAACCAAAUCAGGAUGUGAGAUGUCUGGUUGGAGGGUAGGAAUGUAACAACUAUGAUCGACUUUAGAGUCGCUCUGCAGUUUUUCACCACAGAUUUUACAUUUUUUCACCGCACAGCGAUGCUUUGCAUCGUCUAACGACAAAUUGACACUGUAGUAUAGUUCGCAUCGUGCGCAUUUUUUGAUUUGGUCGCAGAGGCUGGACUUUCUGCUUGAACCGACCAAUUUGUGUCUGGUGAAACAAGAGGGUGAGCGACACGUUCUGUUACAGUCAGAGCAAACCACUGUGUUGAACCCUUCUGUGGGGCAGGCAGGAUCGUUGCACACUGCGCAGUAACCUUUACAAAAGUGGGUAUAGGGGUGCUUAAAAGUCUUGUAACAAUAAUUACAGACUGACGACCCCAGGAAGGCUUUGAGAUUUUUUAUCCCAUAAUAGUGAUUUUGUAGUAAAAAGAGAAACAACUGAUUGGAACGAUCAGAGAAUUUUGUCUCAUAAUGUGAGAGGGGUUUACUGUGGCAUGUUCUGUAAAACACAACAAUUUUACGCCCCAGAAUAUUUUCAAAUUUACCAAUGUCACUGAAAGUGACGGGGGUCUCAUCAUUUAAACCAGCCUGAUGCUGCAACUUCCUCACAAUAUCAAGGCAUUCUCUUUCAGUAAGUUUCGGGUAGAUAACGUGAGCUAGACUGAUGGCGAAGCAAAGCUGGUUGUCUCUGUUGUCUACGAUAAAUAAGUGACGUCUUUUUUUGUCAAUGAUUUCACAGUCUAGAGUUUUCUCCAUCUUACGUUUGGCACCUCCUCCUGGGUUCUGCACCACGUGAAGGAUGAAUUCUAUAUUCUCAUCCGAUGAAAUGAUACCGUUUGACUGCACAAUCCGAUCUAGCAUUCCAUUAAAAGCCGGUAGAAUAUUUUCACCUUGUUCAUCCACAGCAACUGUAACAUGAUUGUGUACGUUUUCACCCACCACCUCCAACUGUAUUAAAUCAUUGCGACUACUAUGUCGUCUGGCAACAUCCACCAAUUCGCUGAUAACCCCUGUUACAUCUCGAUAGAAUGUUGCAAUGUCAGGCACAUUUCCCCGAGUGGGAAUGUUAAAGGAGCGUCUUGUUCUCCAUGUGAUAAAAUCAUUAAAAAACCUCUCACCCCGCUCAGGAGAGAGAUCGGAUGGAUUUUCUCCUAGCCCUCCUCCCCCUUGCUGAGGAGAAAGAUGGGCUGAGGGGCUGCUCUCUGACCCCCCUUCUCCUGGCCUCUCAUCCUGUUCAGGAGGGGGGUUAGGAAGAGCCGAUUGUGUCUCUGCUGAAUCCGUCUCUGAUCUGAUUGUUACCGCGUGUAAGACAUGAUCACUUUGCGUGUGGAGAGCUGAUGAAGGAGAAUGAUUUUCAAACUCUACUGCAUUAACUGCAUUAAGGUUUUCGAGGGCAUCAUUUAUGAGUUGUAAGGUGUCAAGUUCUAGGACGUUUUCAUUUUGCUCUGUAAAUUGUAAAUUUAUUGGAAUGGAGAUUGGAAUUUCACUUAAUUGAUCAACAGCUAUUUGUAAAGCAUUCGGUACUUGAUUAAAAUAUUCAACAUUGAAAUCCUCAUCACUUAAUUGAUCAACAGCUAUUUGUAAAGCAUUCGGUACUUGAUUAAAAUAUUCAACAUUGAAAUCCUCAUCACUUAAUUGAUCAACAGCUAUUUGUAAAGCAUUCGGUACUUGAUUAAAAUAUUCAACAUUGAAAUCCUCAUCCAUAUCUUAAACAAAAGACAGAAAAAGGAAAAAAAAAAUUACAGCUUUUUCAACACUGUUUUAGUACACCUUUGGUUACAAUUGGAGGAAACAAUAUACCGUAUGACAUUAUUGAAAAUCUCCAGCACUACCUUGUCUUGGGGGUGUUGGGAAUGAAUGUAGCAGCCUGUAUCCUCCUCCACCCUGUCAAAGAGCGGAUCAGGAACGCUCUCGUGGUGCUCGUGCUGUUGUUGGGAAUGAUCGUUGCCCCCCGUAUCCCCCUCCACCCUGUUGAAGGACGGUUCAGGGACGCUCUCGUUUAAUCUCAACCCUGAAUCUGUAAUUAGAUGAGAGAUGAGUUAUUAUUUUUUUUAUAUAUUAUUAUUAUUAUUAGUCAAGAAGAUAUAGUAUAAAAUAUACCAUCAAACAAUCUCCUGACAAUGUUAGACUUGUGUCUCUGGUUCCUACGUCUCCUUAUCGGCCUCGCAGGUUCGAAAGGAUCUGGUGAAAGGGAGAGUGGAGCUGCCGUGGGUCCCGCUGUAAGUACAGGGGUCAGAGUGGUACACGCUUGCCGUAUUCUACGUCUCCUCGCAGGGGCAGAAGGUUCACGGGAGGGUGGAAAGGCCGUGGGAGUCACAGUGCUCAGAGAGGCGCACGUUUGAAGGUUCUGUUUUGAUGGUUCUGUUUAGACAGAGGGGAAAAUCGUUAAAAUACAAAUCAUCAAAACGGCACAUAUUUUGUAUAUACUUCUAAUCACAGAUAAAUAUAUUACCUUGUACAGUCGACUUCGGUCCUCCUGGCUGUCUCACACGUCUUCUGGAGAGUUUGUUCGUCUGCUUACUUGAGUCAGUCCCAUGUUGAAGUGCCGAGGUUUCCCUCUCAAUCUCAAUUUCACCAAUUUCAGUUACACAGCAAUUUGUCCCCUGCACGGGGGGUGGGGUUUCAGAACACAGCAAUGCUUUUACUGCUUUUUCAGUUUCUUGGUUGUCUUCGGAUACCAAUCUUUCAGCCCUGGCUAACAGAUCUGAAAAAUGUAUCAUAAAAAGUUAUAUUUCAGCAAUCUAUGAACAACUGAGCUGUUCAUAAAAAACAAAACAAAACAAAACAAAAAAAAAAACUGUAUGUAAAAUACCAAUGUCUGUUUGCGUGAGGGUUAUUCCUUCAAACUCAUCGGCGCUGACUUUAAAGAUACAGAAAAUUACACUUAAAAAUCUAGAAUAAAAAUAGAACAACUUUCAGGUUAAAAAGAUCACGGAUUGCUUACCAGGAUAAAUUGGCAUAUGGUGAACCUCUACUGUAACUUCUAAAACACAGUUAUUCGUAAAUAGUAGUUAAUCAUUAAUAGUUCAUUCAUUAAUAGUUUUCUAAAACUAUUUAGAAAACUACAGAGAAAAAGUUUGGGAAGAAUUUGAGGCUUACCGGUAGUCAUCUUUGCAGCCAUCUUUGUUUGUUACACGCGCUCGCAGACGGUGAAGCUUCCGAUGAAGUUCUGGAGGACUGAGCUAAUGACUGUGAGAUGAUCAUGUAUAUAUUCGCUUUACAAUGCUUGGCGAGAAGGAAAAAAAAAAAAAAAAAAAGUUGAUUGGCGCCGAAAAGUCUGAUAUUGACGAUUGCCCCGGUGGACCAACUGGUGGUGAUGUAGCUCCCAUGGGGAUACCUCCCUACACGGGAACUCUACCAAACAACAGGUUCAGGCGAUAUAACUCAUGUUAAGAAUGUUUUUCUCCAGGAGGGCCUCCAGGUCUCCAGGGGAUUUAAGCUUCUUCAGUUACACACCUCGGACACCGGAAGACAACGUAGGCCCCUAAAUUUCUUACUUGAGGCCACCAACUCUUUUCUCUUUUCUUCUGAACCACAGUGUUAGGGUUCUAACAGUCUAACUUUCUCCAAUAGUUUUCUCUUCUCUAGUUUUCACAAAUGUUUCACAAAAUGUUUGUUCUGUGGAAGGUUUCUGUUCUGUGUUGUUUCUUUCUUCACAGCCUUCUUCAGUCACACACACCAUUCCCGGUUUGAUCAGUUUCAACACACCCCAGUCAUUGGAAGACAUCGUAGCCGACAACAUAGGCCCCUCACUGGAAGAUUCUUCCCGCUGAUAGAGAAUCAACUCCCCCGUCUUGUAACGGAACACAUACCCAAAACUCCCUGUUUGACUAUAAGGCUCCAAAGACCAUUCUUGCUGCAAAGGCUCACAAGGUGACGCCUGAGAACGCUGUACAAACACCGUGGAUUUUUCAACUACUUUUCCACACAAUUCUCUUAUAACGGUCACAGCCGUCUCACCAAUCACGGAUGUAGAACUACUCAUGUUGUCCACAGAUGGCUAUGCCAGGACUAUGGCAAAACUGUUUUGUAACUGUUUUGUAACUGCUGCCCUUCCUUUUUAAAAAAAGGCGGGAGGGA